UGCAGAAUCCCGUGAACCAUCGAGUCUUUGAACGCAAGUUGCGCCCGAAGCCGUUAGGCCGAGGGCACGUCUGCCUGGGCGUCUCGC
Molecule: ribosomal RNA, 87 nt
Filed under: Incarvillea arguta
Lineage: Eukaryota; Viridiplantae; Streptophyta; Magnoliopsida; Lamiales; Bignoniaceae
Also listed under: 2 other names
Description: partial 5.8S ribosomal RNA
Rfam family: 5.8S ribosomal RNA
About the family: 5.8S ribosomal RNA (5.8S rRNA) is a component of the large subunit of the eukaryotic ribosome. It is transcribed by RNA polymerase I as part of the 45S precursor that also contains 18S and 28S rRNA. Functionally, it is thought that 5.8S rRNA may be involved in ribosome translocation.
Source: RNAcentral